This is a long non-coding RNA of Thalassophryne amazonica, 140 nucleotides long. RefSeq lists it as uncharacterized. The transcript is spliced from 3 exons. Lineage: Eukaryota; Metazoa; Chordata; Actinopteri; Batrachoidiformes; Batrachoididae. The record is from RefSeq and is a predicted model, not a curated record.
GUACUCGUAGCCGCCAGGUACCCGGAUAAUGGGCUUUUAACAGCCUCAUCCUCACCACAAACAUGCCUCUUACAUUCUCGUUUGUCCUCCUAGUACCUCAUACACAAACUGCCCCACGCUGUUGAGGCUACAUUCUUUCU